Long non-coding RNA from Strongylocentrotus purpuratus (purple sea urchin), 192 nucleotides. RefSeq lists it as uncharacterized. The record is from RefSeq and is a predicted model, not a curated record. NCBI's taxonomy places the organism in Eukaryota, Metazoa, Echinodermata, Echinoidea, Camarodonta, Strongylocentrotidae. The transcript is spliced from 3 exons.
GCCAUGCGCUAUGCAUGCACGACGUGCGCUAUACUCGCACAAAGUGAGAAGAUUUAGUUCACGGAGAAUGCAUAUGGAUUGAAACUGAAGAGCUGGAAGGAGGACAUUACAACAUCUCUUAUAUUUGCAAGAUGAAGCAGAAAGUCCCAUGCAGGAUGAUGCUUCUCUACAGCGGAUGGUGAAGGCAUUCUG